UACGUAGGGUGCAAGCGUUAAUCGGAAUUACUGGGCGUAAAGCGUGCGCAGGCGGUUUUGUAAGUCUGACGUGAAAUCCCCGGGCUCAACCUGGGAAUUGCGAUGGAGACUGCAAGGCUGAAUCUGGCAGAGGGGGGUAGAAUUCCACGUGUAGCAGUGAAAUGCGUAGAGAUGUGGAGGAACACCGAUGGCGAAGGCAGCCCCCUGGGUCAAGAUUGACGCUCAUGCACGAAAGCGUGGGGAGCAAACAGG
Molecule: ribosomal RNA, 252 nt
Filed under: uncultured bacterium
Lineage: Bacteria
Description: partial 16S ribosomal RNA
Rfam family: Bacterial small subunit ribosomal RNA
Source: RNAcentral